Molecule: ribosomal RNA, 566 nt
Filed under: Monascus sp. ATCC 16773
Lineage: Eukaryota; Fungi; Ascomycota; Eurotiomycetes; Eurotiales; Aspergillaceae
Description: LSU rRNA
Rfam family: Eukaryotic large subunit ribosomal RNA
Source: RNAcentral
AUUGCCUCAGUAACGGCGAGUGAAGCGGCAAGAGCUCAAAUUUGAAAGCUGGCCCCUCCGGGGUCCGCAUUGUAAUUUGCAGAGGAUGCUUCGGGCUCAGCCCCCGUCUAAGUGCCCUGGAACGGGCCGUCGGAGAGGGUGAGAAUCCCGUCUGGGACGGGGUGCCUGGGUCCAUGUGAAGCUCCUUCGACGAGUCGAGUUGUUUGGGAAUGCAGCUCUAAAUGGGUGGUAAAUUUCAUCUAAAGCUAAAUACUGGCCGGAGACCGAUAGCGCACAAGUAGAGUGAUCGAAAGAUGAAAAGCACUUUGAAAAGAGAGUUAAACAGCACGUGAAAUUGUUGAAAGGGAAGCGCUUGCGAUCAGACUCGCCUGCGGGGUUCAGCCGGCAUUCGUGCCGGUGUACUUCCCCGUGGGCGGGCCAGCGUCUGUUCGGGUGGCCGGUCAAAGGCCCCGGGAAUGUGUCGCCCUCCGGGGCGUCUUAUAGCCCGGGGUGCCAUGCGGCCUACCUGGACCGAGGAACGCGCUUCGGCUCGGACGCUGGCGUAAUGGUCGUAAGCGGCCCGUCUU